RNAcentral lists this unclassified non-coding RNA (574 nucleotides) under Hevea brasiliensis (rubber tree). The record is from RNAcentral. Lineage: Eukaryota; Viridiplantae; Streptophyta; Magnoliopsida; Malpighiales; Euphorbiaceae.
UGCAAAACAUGAAAUUAAAAAAAGUGAUGGAUAACUCUCGUCAGUCAUUCAAUAUGCUUGUUUUUGGUGGAAGCUAGACGACUUAUUUUUGGCAUUUAGAAAAGUUGUUAAUUUUGCCUUUGCUGCUGCUGACUAGUGAUAACUCUUCCUCCUUUUUUUUUUCUUUUCUUUGGCAACAAAAAUAAGUUUUACUCUCUCUCUCAAUGGUGAUCAGUGUUUGUGGUCUUCCUUUGAAUUAUUGUUGCCUCUAGAAACAUGCUGGUUGUAUUUGCCGCAGUUGGCAUGACAGUUCUUGGUGAUCUAUUCACAUGUGGUAUAAAUGAGCUUGUAUCAUGAUAACUGGCUUUGGGCAAUGGCUUUGCUUCUUAAUUUAGAUGUGAUUGGGAUGAGUAGGAAUGGUUAUACCUCCAGUUUGGUGUUCAAACUGUAUAUAUGAAGACACUUUGUCAUUUUAGUUCAGUUGCACUUAACGUGGUGCAAUUUCUUGUUUUUGACCUUACUGAAUAUAGUUUAUCAUGCUUAGAUGUAGUUGUUAUUUUCUAAAUUAUUGUGCAGAGAUGUGAUGGUUUCUUGA